This 75-nucleotide transfer RNA is filed under the name Microbacterium sp. Its description in RNAcentral is "tRNA-Thr". It matches the Rfam family "tRNA". From Rfam's summary of the family: Transfer RNA (tRNA) molecules are approximately 80 nucleotides in length. The record is from RNAcentral. Lineage: Bacteria; Bacillati; Actinomycetota; Actinomycetes; Micrococcales; Microbacteriaceae.
GCCGACGUCAUUCAAUGGCCAGGAUGUCGCCUUUGUAACGCGAUCACGUGGGUUCGACUCCCGCCGUCGGCACCG